This 165-nucleotide small nuclear RNA is filed under the name Zalophus californianus (California sea lion). RNAcentral describes it as "U1 spliceosomal RNA (ENSZCAG00015023191.1)". It matches the Rfam family "U1 spliceosomal RNA". From Rfam's summary of the family: U1 is a small nuclear RNA (snRNA) component of the spliceosome (involved in pre-mRNA splicing). Lineage: Eukaryota; Metazoa; Chordata; Mammalia; Carnivora; Otariidae. The record is from RNAcentral.
AUACUUAACUGGUAAGGGAGAUACCAUGAUUAUGAAGGUGGUUUUCCCAGGGUGAAGCUUAUCCGUUGCACUCCGAAUGUGCUGACCCCUGCAAUUUCCCCAAAUGUAGGAAACUCAACUGCAUAAUUUGUGGUAGUGGGGGGACUACAUUCAUACUCUGCCCUA